CGGCGGCGGCCCCGCUCGCGGGGCGCUAUCUACCUGCGAGCCGCGGCCCCUGCCCGGGCGCCCAGCCGUCCCGCGCGGCGCGCCGGAUCCGCCGCCGGGUUUUGCAGCCGCCCCCACCGCCGGGCCACCUCCGGAGGCCGGGUUCCCGCCACUUCGGACCUGUCGAGUGGGCUGACCUUGGGCGGGGGGCUCCGGGUCCGGGAGAAACUUCCCGAAGGAGAGGGGCUUCCGCCGCCCCUGCGCGCACACAGCCCGAGCUGGCAAGGGACGCAGCUGCACCCAGCCAUGUGCCUCCGCUCCGGGGGACAGACCCCGGCCGAGUGGAGCAACCCCGAGACGCGCAGAAAUGGGCCAGGCUCCGAGAGCCGCGCCGGGCCCUGACCCCUGCACCUGCCCGCCGCCGGGCCGCCUGAGACCCGGGCUCACCUGCAAGUGUGUGUCCCGCUUUUUCUAACGCUUUCUCCAAAAGGACUGAACCAGUCCUUUAGCCGACUUAUUUUUGGCAAGUUUUAACAAAAACUCAGCUUACCCUUAGUCUCCGUCAGAAGAGAUGGUGGCUGGACUUGGAGGCUUUGAUGACACAAAGGGGUGGCCUGCGCUGUUACUGUGAGAAUCGUUUUCACGUGUAGUCGGAAGUAGUUACUGUCACUGGUUGGAAAUUAAAUCAUGAUUGGGGCUUUGGAAUGUUCAAACUAAGUGGGAAUUUUGGCAGCACGACUAGCCAGUGGGCUUCCUGUGGUGACGAGCUGGGGAGAGAGUGGACUUAACCCGUACCUAGGUGGAGGCAGGUGUUCCGAUGCCCUGGCUCCGCGAUUCCAUGGACAGGGGCAGGGCAGGAGUUCAGAUAGCGCGUCGUCUGGGUCAGACAUGUGGCGGAUGCGACUUCCUGUUCUCUGCAAACUAGAACACUGCGGAGACCCCCUGCCAGAGCAGGGGGCGGCCCAGGGUCCUCGCUGUGUCCUAAGUAACUUGGGUUUCUUGCAGAAGAAACAUCCUACUGGUAUGUAGUCCCUUGGGUAGAAAUGUGGCUUUUGUCAACUUUUGUUAAGUAUCUUUAGAGAGAUUUUUUGGUGGGUGGCUGGGAAUGUCAAUCCCUGGUAGAGUGCUUGCUAGCAUGUGUGAGG
RNAcentral lists this long non-coding RNA (1124 nucleotides) under Marmota monax (woodchuck). The record is from RNAcentral. Lineage: Eukaryota; Metazoa; Chordata; Mammalia; Rodentia; Sciuridae.